Molecule: ribosomal RNA, 497 nt
Filed under: uncultured bacterium
Lineage: Bacteria
Description: partial 16S ribosomal RNA
Rfam family: Bacterial small subunit ribosomal RNA
Source: RNAcentral
GAUGAACGCUGGCGGCGUGCCUAAUACAUGCAAGUCGAGCGAACAGAUGAGGAGCUUGCUCCUCUGACGUUAGCGGCGGACGGGUGAGUAACACGUGGAUAACCUACCUAUAAGACUGGUAUAACUUCGGGAAACCGGAGCUAAUACCGGAUAAUAUAUUGAACCGCAUGGUUCAAUAGUGAAAGACGGUUUUGCUGUCACUUAUAGAUGGAUCCGCGCCGCAUUAGCUAGUUGGUAAGGUAACGGCUUACCAAGGCAACGAUGCGUAGCCGACCUGAGAGGGUGAUAGGCCACACUGGAACUGAGACACGGUCCAGACUCCUACGGGAGGCAGCAGUAGGGAAUCUUCCGCAAUGGGCGAAAGCCUGACGGAGCAACGCCGCGUGAGUGAUGAAGGUCUUCGGAUCGUAAAACUCUGUUAUUAGGGAAGAACAAAUGUGUAAGUAACUAUGCACGUCUUGACGGUACCUAAUCAGAAAGCCACGGCUAACUACGUG